This 688-nucleotide long non-coding RNA is filed under the name Neogobius melanostomus (round goby). Its description in RNAcentral is "lncRNA (ENSNMLG00000018256.1)". The record is from RNAcentral. Lineage: Eukaryota; Metazoa; Chordata; Actinopteri; Gobiiformes; Gobiidae.
CGGAAACAGACCGUAGCUAAUGAUUUAACCUAACGGUCUUCUAUUUUUCCAAACUUUGGGGAAUGUUUAUAAAGUGUGUCAACAUUUUCUUGCUUUAAUUUAAAAAUGCCGUACAUAAUUUCAUAUUCAUAUGUGAUACAUUACUUCCAGUUCGUUCGACUCAAGGUUAUGAACAGUUUAUAACCAAGAAUGCGCUGAAAGUGAUGCUGGAAGAUUUAGAAGAGUUAGCUUAGUAUGUUGUUGUUGUUAGCGCUUUCACGGAUGCUUCUGCUUCGCCUGACCGCUUCAUGGCUCCUGCUGCUCGGCGUGCUGUGGGCCGAGCCCUCGGCUGUGGACGGAGCUGCUGCUGGAGGCGGAGGAAGGGGACAGGCAGCAGGGUUUCACCGCGGGCAGACGGGACAUCCCGGGACAGAGCGACUGCAGCCUCCGCCAGGACCGCAGAGUCUGCUCCGGUUAAGCACAGGAGAGGUUUAAAGUCUCUGAGAAAAACACUUGAAACCUCCUCCUCUGAAACUCAAGCAGCAAAACGACUGUUCCUCAGAGAACGGCGGAGCUCUGUGACCCACACCCCCCUUGGACACACGCCCCCUCAGGUCAGUGACACACGCCCAAUCAGGUCAGUGACACACGCCCCAUCAGGUCAGUGACACACGCCCCAUCAGGUCAGUGACACACGCCCCCUCAGGUC